RNAcentral lists this ribosomal RNA (393 nucleotides) under uncultured bacterium. RNAcentral describes it as "partial 16S ribosomal RNA". It matches the Rfam family "Bacterial small subunit ribosomal RNA", at positions 523 to 918 of the family's 1533-position model. The record is from RNAcentral.
AUACGGAGGAUCCGAGCGUUAUCCGGAUUUAUUGGGUUUAAAGGGUGCGUAGGUGGUUUGAUAAGUCAGCGGUGAAAGUUUGCAGCUUAACUGUAAAAAUGCCGUUGAAACUGUCGGACUUGAGUGUAAAUGAGGUAGGCGGAAUGCGUGGUGUAGCGGUGAAAUGCAUAGAUAUCACGCAGAACUCCGAUUGCGAAGGCAGCUUACUAAGCUACAACUGACACUGAAGCACGGAAGCGUGGGGAUCAAACAGGAUUAGAUACCCUGGUAGUCCACGCAGUAAACGAUGAUUACUAGCUGUUUGCGAUACACAGUAAGCGGCACAGCGAAAGCGUUAAGUAAUCCACCUGGGGAGUACGCCGGCAACGGUGAAACUCAAAUGAAUGGGCGGGG